This 393-nucleotide ribosomal RNA is filed under the name uncultured bacterium. Its description in RNAcentral is "partial 16S ribosomal RNA". It matches the Rfam family "Bacterial small subunit ribosomal RNA", at positions 523 to 918 of the family's 1533-position model. The record is from RNAcentral.
AUACGGAGGACGCGAGCGUUAUCCGGAUUCAUUGGGUUUAAAGGGUGCGCAGGCGGCCGUGCAAGUCAGCGGUGAAAGCCCGGGGCUCAACCCCGGAAGUGCCGUUGAUACUGCGUGGCUGGAAUGCGGUCGAGGCGGGCGGAACGUGGCGGGUAGCGGGGAAAUGCGUAGAUAUGCCACAGAACGCCGGUAGCGGAGGCAGCUCGCCAGGCCUGCAUUGACGCUCGGGCACGAAGGCGUGGGGAUCGAACAGGAUUAGAUACCCUGGUAGUCCACGCCGUAAACGAUGGGCGCUCGUCGUCGGCGACAGACAGUCGGCGGCCAAGCGAAAGCGAUAAGCGCCCCACCUGGGGAGUACGGUCGCAAGGCUGAAACUCAAAUGAAUUGACGGGG